RNAcentral lists this small RNA (577 nucleotides) under Leptographium sp. ZLVG351. RNAcentral's name for it is "eukaryotic LSU rRNA". The stretch from base 208 to 361 matches the Rfam family "5.8S ribosomal RNA". Lineage: Eukaryota; Fungi; Ascomycota; Sordariomycetes; Ophiostomatales; Ophiostomataceae. The record is from RNAcentral.
CCGUUGGUGACCAGCGGAGGGAUCAUUAGCGAGUUUAAACAACUCCCAACCCGUGCAUACAUACCGCAUUUCUUGCGCCCGUUGCCUCCUGGCGGGCGGCGCGCGCCUCCAGCUCCGGCUGGCGGCGCCCGCCCGCCGGGGGACCAGCGGUCGCACUUUGAACCUCUGCGUACACUGAGCAGUCUGAGCAAAACCAUGAAUCGUUAAAACUUUCAACAACGGAUCUCUUGGUUCUGGCAUCGAUGAAGAACGCAGCGAACUGCGAUAAGUAAUGUGAAUUGCAGAAUUCAGUGAACCAUCGAAUCUUUGAACGCACAUUGCGCCCGCCAGCAUUCUGGCGGGCAUGCCUGUCCGAGCGUCAUUUCCACCCUCACGCGCCCCUUUAGUGCGUGGUGUUGGGGCAUACUGCGGCUGCCGCAAGGCACCGCAGGCCCUGAAACCCAGUGGCGGGCCGGCAGAAGGCUCCGAGCGCAGUAAGCAUCACGCCCUCGCUCUGGACGCCCCUGCUGGCAGCUCGCCCUGCGGCGGAAACGCUUGCAGCAACCAUUUCUAAGGUUGACCUCGGAUCAGGUNGGAU